AUAGUUACCUGAACGAGAUUAAUGGGUGUUCAAGAAGGCUCAUGGUCGAGGGAAGUGACCUCCAUUGCACUUAGGAGAGUGUUCUCCUAAGGUCUAUCCAAGUGGUGGAGCUUAUGUCAUAAUUUGUGGUUAUAGGGGUCUGCGUUUGCACGACCUCUC
Molecule: non-coding RNA, 159 nt
Organism: Lupinus albus (white lupine)
Lineage: Eukaryota; Viridiplantae; Streptophyta; Magnoliopsida; Fabales; Fabaceae
Source: the annotation of a GenBank genome assembly